UGAAAUGCUGAAAGGCUUUGCAUUCCAAGUCAUUUUAAAAGAAUGAAAAAUAAAAUCAUUUGGAGGAUCUGGAUCUCCCUCAUGUUUUAGCUUUCAAAUCCAGAAUUCUGAUGUCUGAGAGAUGUAAUAAAUCAAAAGCAUUCACCAGGUUACAGACAUUUCUGAAUAUGAAGUAGUUUAUUAUUAGAAAAAAAAAAAACAAAACAAAAGAAAGCUGCCACUAAAUCCUGCAAGUGAUUAAAAAUGGUCAUUAAGAGCAUUUGCAAAUAUUUAUCUUAGCUUAAGUUAGAUGGGCACAAUUCUGACUGAGACAUGAUUUUUUCCCCCUUUUAGCUGCAUUACUAAGCCAGCUAUGAAUAGCAAUGUUUUCAUUUUUUAAGAAACAUUCUCUCUUCUCAGUUUCAGCUCUCUCCUGUUGGAAUUUGACCUGCAGUACUUGGAAAAAAAAAAUCAAACAGAAAAAAGAAAACCUUGGGAAUUAUAUUCUCUUCGGCAAAAUGUCGUGGAACAAGGCUAUGGAGCACGUCUUUCCUUCUGGAUGCUCUCAGCAAUGUUGGGAAUGUCUUCGGAGUUGGGAUUUGGACCUGGACCCCCCGCCACCCCUUGGGCGUGUACAUCAGGCUAUGGCAGGCUUAUGGCCAUACCACUAAAUGUGAACUUUAUUGUCAGCACUGGAAAUGUGGGCCCUAUCACAAGGCCCACAUUAGGAGGCACCUGGCUAAUUGCUGCACAAUUAAUUCAGGUCUGAUUCAGUCUUACAGUUUUGAUGUCUCAAAUAAAGGUCAGCACCUUAACAAGGAGCACAUUCACAAGUGGAUGAGACAAGCAGGGGCUGGAGAAGACAUCUGCCUCCAAACUCCUGAUGGACCUCAAGGACCUGUGUCUGCUUUCCUAGGACUGCAAGCAGCGUGGCACGAGAUACAUAUUUCCCUGUCUCUACAAGGCCUUUUUAUUUGGUCUGGAUACACAUCUGAGACUACAUGAACUUCCAUCAUUUCACUUGGGAAAAUUUCUGAUAGUUGGGCAAAACUUUCUUGGAAAAAGACGAAGAAACUCAGAGAACAAGCAGAAAUAUUGGAUGGCAGAUGUACAUCCACCCUGAUCAUCAUGGAAAUAUGCACUGAGCUGCAUCCUUAUUUCCAAGUGUGGAUAUUGCACAGCCAAACACUGAUUUUCUGAGAGGCUUCACCACCUAUUUUACCAAUCCUGGGUCGGAGAGCCCUUGAGAUAAACAUGAGAGGUGUAGUCACAGAGAAAAUGGAAAAUCAAGACACAGUUUCCUCUCCAGAAGUUCACCAACAGCAAGGAUUACCAAGAAGCUGGAGCAUCCCAGAGGAAGAAGCACCCACUCCUUGGCACUGCAGUGGGUCCCCCUUUCCUGGUGCUCUCCUCAGGAACUACCCUGGUUCCAAGCACCACCUUGGCUGUGUGUCUGUAUUGAGCCAUAUCCCAGGAGCUGAGAGGAGCCUGGCCAGCACCACACAUGAUCAGAAAUAGAAAUCCUGAGCUCAGCCAGCAGUGAUGGAAGAGUUUUGGCUGGAUGGUGCACAAAAAGCUUUGUGCAGUCACAGACAGUGGAGUUGACCUUCAAACCAUAACACUUUUAAAUAUCUGUGAAUAUACAAGGUUAAAUCUAUUAGUGGUCUGAGAUUAGCUGUUCUGCACUUGCAAAGUGUCUACCUUCUGCAGCAAAUUUUAUCUUCUGCUGAAUGAUAACGAGCUUACAUCCACCCCACGAGUUUUCAACAAAUAAUGGGAUAUGUGUUUUCACUGGGACCGCCUUCGCUUUCUCAACUCCUCACUGGGAGCUGCCUCUCCUACCCACUGACUAAAUCAGCUCCUGGCUGCUCCCUGCCAGCUAAGGCACAGAGGCUGCCAAAAAGCUUCCUGCUCAAAGAUCUCUGCAUCCUCUCUGUGCCACGGGCCAUCAGCCUGCAGCUCCAGUGUUUUUCACAGAACAGCGGCAUGGGACGAUGUCAUGCUCUGAGCUGAGCGCCAAGACUGAGCCAGAAGGGUUGGGAAGAGGAGGAGCAGCCCUCACACCUGGAAUUGCGAGGUGGGAUCCGAACACAGAGCUUCCUUCGUGUGCAUUCUGCGGGGUGCCAGCUCAUGGCGCUGCCGUUGGACAGCGUUCACUCGGUAAAGGAGCGUGAAAAAUAAAGCUGCCAGAGGCCACUAAAGAACAUAUGAUGGAAACAAACUGAGUCACCACCAGUGGGGCUGACAUUGUUGGUGGAAACUGGGACACCAGCGUGAGCCAUUGUUCGCUGCACCUCGUCUGGUUUAUGUAGCUGGCUGAGUUGAAAGCUGGAUCGGCGCUAACCUUGGGCUUGGAGGGGAAUUGGUGCCAUGUGGUUUCAAUUGUCCAUGGAUGCUUUCAGCUCCUACUGCCAGUAACGAGCUGUCCUCCAGGUCCUCCCACAGCCGUGGUGUUGUCCCAGCUCACCCUGAUGGGGCUGUGGUGAGCACUGCUUCCUGAUGUGGUCCCUUUCAGCAGGAGCUGCUCUGCAGUCUGCUGGGAGAGAGGGUUUAUUCACUCUUCCCUCUGUCCCAGCAGCUGCAGAGAAGUUUUCCCUGAAUACAUUUUGCUGUGCAAAAGGGUUUUUUUUUUCUUUUUUGAGCUGGUUUCUUUCCUGACUUGGUGUGACGCUGCCCAUGGUGCAGUUGUGGGAACAUCUGAGGCUGUGAGCUGUUCUCUUGUGCUCUUUUCAUUUGAAGGUUCUGCAGAGUGAGGCUCGUACUGGUUUCACCACCUAUUUCCUGGUGCACACAGUUCUUGUCUGGGAGUGGUUUUUGUGGACAUGGGGGUGAUGAGACCCACAAAAAUAAUGAGAAACCACUUCAACCACCACCAAAUUAUGCCCGAGGCAAACUGCAACGGCUUUGUGACAGUGUCACCAUGCUAUCUUUGUGACAGAGAUGGAGAUAAUGAGAAUUAAUUAAUCGGUCUUUGAUUAAAAAAAAAGAGGAGGGGGAAAUCCUUGUGCUGUGAUUCCGCUACAAAAAAACAUGAAACUGGUGAGGUUUUUGUUUGAUGUUACUUCUCAAAAGUAGGACAGGCUUUUGUAAUGCAGAGCUGAGGGUUUCAUGGCUGCUGGCUUGGUUACCCAUCACUGAUGGACCACAGGGGCAAGAGAUCCUCACUUUGUAGUAAAACAUGUUCAACACUAACACCACAGUACUGAUGGAGAUGUUUUUACUCUCACAGUGCAAAAAACUGUCUCUUAUUCAAAGAUCUUGCAAGUCCCAGGUACAAUCUUGUUGGCUGGAGUCAACCCUGCCUUCUUUACAGUCCUGGGGGUGAAAUUUUGUCUUGUAGUCUUUAGACUGAUGGCUGAACCUUAGAAAUUGAUCUCUUAUGAUAAAACAUGAACUACAUGGUGCCAGUGUCUGACUGGAAUUACAAUUAUCUAAGUAGAUUCAUUUGUAUCCCUUUCAUAGCAGCUUUUCUCUAGGCACAAGAUUUUUCUGUGGGGCAUGGGAAGAACUAAAUUAAUCUUAUAAAGAGGAAGGGGUUUACACUGAAAUCGAUAGUUACAGAAUUAACUGGGUAAAUGACUUUUUCUUAAUUCUUUCUCUUCUCAGAAGAUGAAGUUUUGAUGGGUACACAAAUCCAAUGGCUGCCAAAAAGCUGAUAUCACAUGAAAUAUUUCAUCUCAGCUGCGCUGAGCAAGUCUAGACUUUGGAAUCAGUGAAAACUGAGAGUGUAAAAAAUGUCAGUGUUGAAGCAGGGAAAAAUGCCCUAUUCUGGUUAUUAACUGUGAGUAACAAAUGAAGUUAUGUUUUCAAAAGAAGUUGUCACUUCAGAAAGAGCUACGUGGCUCUCCUGGGCAGUUUUAAGGAUAAGCCAUAUAUGCAGUUUUAAGCUUGGAUUUAGGUAGUUCACCAACACAGGGUGUUUGUAUUAUUUCAAAGAAGCAAAGCAGUGGAUUACACAGGCACAAGCAGUAGGUUGAAAUUUUUGAUGCAGGCUUAGUGGCUGGUUUGAUCUGCAAACCCCAGGGCCCAAUUCCCAAGCCAAGCUCAUUUCCCCCUGUGUGCCUUCAGUGCCCACUGCUCUCAGAGUCUCACUUUCAGCCAGGUGGAAACAAUCUUUUAAUUUUUCUCACCACCAAGCCUUCAACUUAACUUCAGCUGUUCUUCAGCUGCAUUUAGGGGAUGCAACCCCAAAGAUGCUGCAGGUUUCCCAGCCCAGCCAUAGCACUUCUGUGUAAUGACAGUGGUAAAACCUUCUCACAUGCAGUUCCAGAAAUGAAUUGUACCAAGAGCAUCUAUAAAAGCUGCAGCAUCCCUGCAAAGAGCACAUAAUGUCAUCAUUUUUCAGUGGGUAUCUUCUCUAAAGGCAAAUAAUCACUUUUCCCAUUAAUGGUUGGACUGAAACUUUUCCCUUCAUUCCGAUUUCAGCAAAGGUUAGGGGCAGAACAUUUAACAUGUGUAUGGGGAUGCUACAGGGUGACUCAUGUGGCUUCCCACUGCAAAUGGUGAAGGCAAUAUACUACCUAGGAAAUUUUUUUUCCCCUCUCUAUCCUGGGGACUAUUUUCAUUUUUACUUUUCCCUUUCACUCAUUACUCCAGAAAUUUUUACAAGGGCAUACAGUGACAGGACAAGGGGGAAGAGUUUUUAACUAAAAGAGGGGAGGUUUAGGUUUGAUGUUGGGAGGAAAUUUUUUUGCUCAAAGGUUUGUGAGGCCCUGGCCCAGCUUGCCCAGAGCAGCACUGUCUGCCUCUGGAUCCCUGGAAGUGUCCAAGGCCAGGUUGGAUGGGGCUUGGAGCAACCUGGGACAGUGGAAGGUGUCCCUGCCCUUGGCAAGGGGAUGGAAUGAGAUUAUCUUUGACAUCUCUUCCACCCCCAAACCAUUAAGGCUUCUUCUGUGAUUCUAUGAAAUUUGGUUCAUCCUCUAAAGAUGUUUUGCCUCCUACCAGCUUCUCAGACUCCUCUCUGCUGGGCACAAACCAUGGUGGCACCAGCUCCUGGCUUACAUCAGGUUCAGUGAAUAAUUUACACCAAAACCAGUGUCAGCAUUGGAGUGUCCUUUCUCAAAGUGCUGUUAACCACCUUCAUUCAGAGAUACCACAGAUUAAUGCUGCUGUGAUGAGCAAAGGAAAUAUUUCAGCAGUGAACCUUUCAACCACGUGCUCUCAGUUUAAAACCACACAUAUUUUGCCCAAGUCUAUCUAACCUGUGCACUCACAGAGUUGCAGAAACUUAAAUUAUAAACACACAUGUGUUAAUGCCAGCUAUCAACCUGCUCCAGGACCAUCAUGUUUGAUUUCAUAUAUUGUGCACUAAACCUCUGUAGGACAGAUGUUCUGCUAGGGGGAAUCCAGAUGUAGUAUCAACACCUGGCUUGCACUGGCUCCCACGGUGGGUUCUUGGAUUAACAUCUGAGACACCCACGACAUACCUGUCCCUCAUUCUGAAUAUGCCUUUUGCAUUUGGGGACUUCCCCCUGGAUUUCUUCCACUUGUUCACAUAGGAAUGUCAAACCCUGGCGUCUAAAUCCCAGGUCAGGGUUAAAAACUUCAAUUCCAAGCUGUCCCUUUAUGCUGUCUGCUCACAAGCACCAGGUCACUGUUGCAAACUCUUUCCUUAUUUGUUUCCAAGGAGCAAUCAGAAUCAGAGUCCUGAAUACUCCAGGUUUUAUGUUGGAUGUUUCUCUCUAAUUUGCAAUUGGCCUUUAAUUUGUCUAAUUUGUCAUUGGCCCCAAUUAGCAGCAAGCUCCUGUCUCAGAUGCAGCUUGUAUCCAUCUAGGAAUUGUUUGGGAGAACCUUCACCAUCUUGAGGACCAAGGGCCAAGUUCAAUUCUCUUUGUGCUACAUGUUAGCAACUCUUAAAGUUAAGACCACUGGGAACAUUUAAAUGCAUUUAGUUAUUUCCAGGCUCAUAAUUUCACUGUAAAACUUUGCUUUUAAUGCAUUCUUCCCUGUCCAAUAAAUUCACUUGUGUACAAGUUCUGAUCUCAAAUCAAAGUUUUAAUUUACUCUUUUUUGUUUGUCAAAGAAUAUGAUUCUGCUUUUCAUUGCCCUGUGCUUUAAAAAAUUACUUGUGUGUACUCCUUGCUACGAUUUAGGGUAUUUAUGAAUGGUUCUACAUAAAAGGAAUGAAAAUAACUAAUUAUAAUAAUACCACUAAAAGCCAUGGCUGGCUAGAAAGUGGAAAUCC
Molecule: long non-coding RNA, 6163 nt
Organism: Serinus canaria (Common canary)
Lineage: Eukaryota; Metazoa; Chordata; Aves; Passeriformes; Fringillidae
Exons: 13
Source: RefSeq, a predicted model, not a curated record